AAAUAAGCUGGUAUAAGGUUGGAACUGCUGUUCCACCCUUCAUGGAACAAGCUUGUUCCCGGAUGAGAACAAGGUUAAUUAAAGUCUAAAUUUAAUUUUAAUAACAGUAAAUCAUUAAUUAAUCUCUUUAAUAUAUUUGAAUUAUUAUUUAUUACUUAAAUAAUAAAAUAAAUAAUUAAUUAAUUAUUUAGAAUCAAUUAUUAAUAAUUAUAUAAUAAUUAUUAUUAAUAUGUUAUUUAUUAUUAAUUUAUUAUUUAUAAUUAUUUAUUAAUAAUUAUUAAUAAUUAUUAUUCUUAAUAAUUAGAUAAUCAAUAUUCUUAUUAAUUUAUUAUUUAGAAUUAAUUAUUAAUAAUUUUUAUAAUUAUUAUUAUUUAUUAAUAAAUAUUAUUAACAAUUAGAUAAUCGAUAUUAUUAUUAAUUAGUAAUUAUUAAUAAUUAUUACUAAUAAUUAGAUAAUCGAUAUUAGUAUUAAUUUAUUAUUUAUAAUUAUUUAUUAAUAAUUAUUAUUAUUUAUAAUUAAUUAUUAAUAAUUUAUUUAUUAUUUAUUUUUAAGUAAUAUUUUGAUGUUAAUUAAUUAGAUAAUAUAAUUUUAAUUUCAAAUUAUAACUCUUAUUUCUCACGUUCCAAUCUAAUUAACCAUCAAAAUACUAUUUAUCUUAUUUGUAGGAACAACCCAAUUUUCAUCCAAACGCAAAAUUGAUCUAGUUCCUACUUAUACCUGAACUUGUACCUAUUCCUGGAAUAAGCAGUUCUUACUUGUACCCGAACCAAACACUAAAUAAAUUUUGUGCUCAAGUAUAUAACGUAUCAGUUUCUUGACAGCAAAUAUGAGCGCCAAACAAU
RNAcentral lists this long non-coding RNA (843 nucleotides) under Ananas comosus (pineapple). Its description in RNAcentral is "long non-coding RNA (ACOM_LNC029337)". The record is from RNAcentral. Lineage: Eukaryota; Viridiplantae; Streptophyta; Magnoliopsida; Poales; Bromeliaceae.